UUUCCGUAGGUGAACCUGCGGAAGGAUCAUUCAUAAUAAGUGUUUAAUGGCACUUUUUUAAAUCCAUAUCCACCUUGUGUGCAAUGUCAGGGUUGAUUUUUCUCUCGAGAGGAUCAACCCCAAACAUCAACUAUAUCUCAACUCUUUGUCUGAAAAAUAUUAUGAAUAAAACAACUCAAAAUACAACUUUCAACAACGGAUCUCUUGGCUCUC
This 213-nucleotide unclassified non-coding RNA is filed under the name plant metagenome. Its description in RNAcentral is "partial contains small subunit ribosomal RNA, internal transcribed spacer 1, and 5.8S ribosomal RNA". The record is from RNAcentral.